AUUGAACGCUGGCGGAAUGCUUUACACAUGCAAGUCGAGCGGCAGCGCGGGGGCAACCCUGGCGGCGAGCGGCGAACGGGUGAGUAACAUAUCGGAACGUACCCCGUCGUGGGGGAUAACACAGCGAAAGUUGUGCUAAUACCGCAUACGACCUGAGGGUGAAAGCGGGGGACCUGCAAGGGCCUCGCGCGAUGGGAGCGGCCGAUAUCGGAUUAGGUAGUUGGUGGGGUAAAAGCCUACCAAGCCGACGAUCUGUAGCUGGUCUGAGAGGACGACCAGCCACACUGGGACUGAGACACGGCCCAGACUCCUACGGGAGGCAGCAGUGGGGAAUUUUGGACAAUGGGCGCAAGCCUGAUCCAGCCAUGCCGCGUGCGGGAAGAAGGCCUUCGGGUUGUAAACCGCUUUUGUCAGGGAAGAAAUCCUUUGAGUUAAUACCUCGGGGGGAUGACGGUACCUGAAGAAUAAGCACCGGCUAACUACGUGCCAGCAGCCGCGGUAAUACGUAGGGUGCGAGCGUUAAUCGGAAUUACUGGGCGUAAAGCGUGCGCAGGCGGUCUUGCAAGACAGGUGUGAAAUCCCCGGGCUUAACCUGGGAACUGCACUUGUGACUGCAAGGCUGGAGUACGGCAGAGGGGGAUGGAAUUCCGCGUGUAGCAGUGAAAUGCGUAGAUAUGCGGAGGAACACCGAUGGCGAAGGCAAUCCCCUG
RNAcentral lists this ribosomal RNA (710 nucleotides) under uncultured beta proteobacterium. RNAcentral describes it as "bacterial SSU rRNA". It matches the Rfam family "Bacterial small subunit ribosomal RNA", at positions 28 to 731 of the family's 1533-position model. The record is from RNAcentral. Lineage: Bacteria; Pseudomonadati; Pseudomonadota; Betaproteobacteria.